CAAAUUUGAAAUCUGGCCGUAAGGUCCGAGUUGUAAUUUGUAGAGGAUGUUUUGGGCACCGCGGCGGGUUAAAUUUCUUGGAACAGAAUGUCAAAGAGGGUGAGAGUCCCGUCUUGGCCCGCGGUAGGACCUAUGUAAAACUCCUUCGACGAGUCGACUUGUUUGGGAAUGCAGGUCAAAAUGGGUGGUAAAUUUCAUCUAAAGCUAAAUAUUGGCCAGAGACCGAUAGCGCACAAGUAGAGUGAUCGAAAGAUGAAAAGCACUUUGAAAAGAGAGUUAAACAGUAUGUGAAAUUGUUGAAAGGGAAGCGCUGGCAACCAGACUCGAGCGCGGUGUUCCCCCUGGCUUCUGCCUGGGUUAUUUCACCGUGACCGGGCCAUCAUCAGUUUCGAGGGCUGGUUAAAGAUUCGGGGAAUGUAUCCUCUCCUUCGGGGGAGGACUUAUAGCCCCGGAUGUCAUGCAGCCUCCCGGGACUGAGGAACGCGCUUCGGCGAGGAUGAUGGCGUAAUGGUUGUCAGCGACCCGUCUUGAAACACGGACCAAGGAGUCUAACAUCUAUGCGAGUGUUCGGGUGUCAAACCCUUGCGCGGAAUGAAAGUGAACGGAGGUAGGAAGGUGUCACAACCUGCACUAUCGACCGAUCCUGAUGUCUUCGGAUGGAUUUGAGUAAGAGCAUAGCUGUUGGGACCCGAAAGAUGGUGAACUAUGCGUGAAUAGGGUGAAGCCAGAGGAAACUCUGGUGGAGGCUCGCAGCGGUUCUGACGUGCAAAUCGAUCGUCAAAU
RNAcentral lists this ribosomal RNA (783 nucleotides) under Trichomerium sp. HY-2019c. RNAcentral describes it as "partial large subunit ribosomal RNA". It matches the Rfam family "Eukaryotic large subunit ribosomal RNA", at positions 110 to 910 of the family's 3401-position model. Lineage: Eukaryota; Fungi; Ascomycota; Eurotiomycetes; Chaetothyriales; Trichomeriaceae. The record is from RNAcentral. RNAcentral also lists the same sequence under 1 other name.